Zootermopsis nevadensis is the source of this 1001-nucleotide non-coding RNA. The record is from RefSeq and is a predicted model, not a curated record. NCBI's taxonomy places the organism in Eukaryota, Metazoa, Arthropoda, Insecta, Blattodea, Termopsidae.
GUCUACAUUCAGCGGUAGUGCGGGGUUCGGGGUGUUGGGCCCCUUAUCCGAAGUUCUGAACGUUUCAGAUGAAGUUAUUGUAAACUGCCAAGCGUGUCAGCCCAGUACAGUUGAGAUAUAGUACUAAUAAAAGGGAUUAUUCCCAUUCUGAAGUUUGUAAAGAUGAAGACAUCUAUCGAAAUUGAAUGUGACAGAUGUUGUUUGAGGAAAUGCUUGCAUUUCGCUGAAAUGCCCCCCUGUGCCCGGCGACGCUGGAAUGUGAUAUGAGAAGAAGAAAAAGAGAGAGAGAAUAUGAAAAACAACCUGCUUAUUCUCUCCGCCAAGCAUCUACGUAUGUUAUAUGCUGUGAUGGACAAGAAUCAUAAAACAACGCGAGACAUCAAGAUGUACAUAGAAAUUCAGAUUUAUAAAAAUGUACGUGCAACAGUGCAAUCAGGACAGGAGUUAGCCAACGUCUACCCGCAUCUGAACUUCUCGUAGUAAAGAAUAAGAACAAAGGAGAGUAUUACAUAACUUUGGUACAAUUUGCAUUUUUCGCCCAGUAUUAAAUUAAGAUUCUUUCACGUUAUCCUUGAAAGAAACUCAGUAUUGUGUUAUAUCAUCCAAAAGGACACUCCAAGAGCUUCUAAACAACAUCACUGAAAGAGAAAAUGCAAUAAUUUCGAAACUACAGCAAUUUUUAAUCAAGCCCAGUGAAAAAGAAUGUGUAAUUUUAUCGAAUUUGACUCAUUUAUUUCUAAAAGCAAUUUCAGAAUCCAGUAACACCAAGACACCGUCCGUCCUCAGGAGCGUAUGCAAGUGAUGGCUACCAGAUAUGAAGGUUAGUUGCGAAUGUUUUGAACGAAGAGUCGCGGACAACAUAAUCCAAGACAGCAAUAAAAAAAGUAGCACAUAGAAGAAACGUGGCACAAAAGUUUCUUUGUUUCUUGAGCGACUAUUUAGUUUCUGAAGGAGGACUUUGUUCCAUGCAGUUAAUUAUUUAGUCAAUAAAAAUGCCAGAA